Molecule: ribosomal RNA, 402 nt
Filed under: uncultured Pedomicrobium sp.
Lineage: Bacteria; Pseudomonadati; Pseudomonadota; Alphaproteobacteria; Hyphomicrobiales; Hyphomicrobiaceae
Description: bacterial SSU rRNA
Rfam family: Bacterial small subunit ribosomal RNA
Source: RNAcentral
UGGGGAAUAUUGGACAAUGGGCGCAAGCCUGAUCCAGCCAUGCCGCGUGAGUGACGAAGGCCUUAGGGUUGUAAAGCUCUUUUGGCGGGGAAGAUAAUGACGGUACCCGCAGAAUAAGCUCCGGCUAACUUCGUGCCAGCAGCCGCGGUAAUACGAAGGGAGCUAGCGUUGUUCGGAAUCACUGGGCGUAAAGCGCACGUAGGCGGACUUGUCAGUCAGGGGUGAAAUCCCGGGGCUCAACCUCGGAACUGCCUCUGAUACAGCAAGUCUUGAGUCCGGAAGAGGUGGGUGGAAUUCCUAGUGUAGAGGUGAAAUUCGUAGAUAUUAGGAAGAACACCGGUGGCGAAGGCGGCCCACUGGUCCGGUACUGACGCUGAGGUGCGAAAGCGUGGGGAGCAAACA